Cavia aperea (Brazilian guinea pig) is the source of this 137-nucleotide small nucleolar RNA. NCBI's taxonomy places the organism in Eukaryota, Metazoa, Chordata, Mammalia, Rodentia, Caviidae. The record is from Ensembl.
CUGGCCCUGAAUCAAGGCCGGCAGUUUCCUGACGCUGUCGGUUUCAAGCAGGAGCUGAAAGAGAUGUCUUUCUAUGAGCUGUUGGCNNUUUCAGAACUUGGGCACUGAAAUGGUCAAUUCAUUAGGAAGAAACAGCU